Molecule: small nuclear RNA, 162 nt
Organism: Molossus molossus (Pallas's mastiff bat)
Lineage: Eukaryota; Metazoa; Chordata; Mammalia; Chiroptera; Molossidae
Product: U1 spliceosomal RNA
Exons: 1
Source: RefSeq, a predicted model, not a curated record
AUACUUACCUGGCAGGGGAAAUACCAUGAUCAUGAAGGUGGUUUUCCCUGGACGAGGCUUAUCCAUCACACUCCGGAUGUGCUGACCCCUGUGAUUUCCCCAAAUGUGGGAGACUUGACUGUACAAUUUGUGAUAGUGGGAGACUGCAUUCGCACUCUCCCC